Molecule: transfer RNA, 72 nt
Filed under: Camelus bactrianus (Bactrian camel)
Lineage: Eukaryota; Metazoa; Chordata; Mammalia; Artiodactyla; Camelidae
Also listed under: 3 other names
Rfam family: tRNA
About the family: Transfer RNA (tRNA) molecules are approximately 80 nucleotides in length. Their secondary structure includes four short double-helical elements and three loops (D, anti-codon, and T loops).
Source: Rfam by way of RNAcentral
GUGGGUAGAGCUCAGUGGUAGAGCCUGUGCUUAGCAUGAUUGAGGUCCUGGGUUCAAUCUCCAGUACCUACC